UACAGAGGGUGCGAGCGUUAAUCGGAAUUACUGGGCGUAAAGGGUGCGUAGGUGGUUAAUUAAGUCAGAUGUGAAAGCCCUGGGCUCAACCUGGGAAUGGCAUUUGAAACUGGUAAGCUAGAGUAUGGUAGAGGGAAGUGGAAUUUCCGGUGUAGCGGUGAAAUGCGUAGAUAUCGGAAGGAACACCAGUGGCGAAGGCGACUUCCUGGACCAAAACUGACACUGAGGCACGACAGCGUGGGGAGCAAACAGG
RNAcentral lists this ribosomal RNA (253 nucleotides) under uncultured bacterium. Its description in RNAcentral is "partial 16S ribosomal RNA". It matches the Rfam family "Bacterial small subunit ribosomal RNA", at positions 524 to 776 of the family's 1533-position model. The record is from RNAcentral.